GGAGGCCACUGCUAUGGGGGUCCGACUAAGCCAUGCGAGUCAAGGGGGCGUCCCUUCUGGGACGCCACCGGCGGACGGCUCAGUAACACGUCGGUAACCUACCCUCGGGAGGGGGAUAACCCCGGGAAACUGGGGCUAAUCCCCCAUAGGCCUGGGGUACUGGAAGGUCCCCAGGCCGAAAGGGAGCCGUAAGGCUCGCCCGAGGAUGGGCCGGCGGCCGAUUAGGUAGUUGGUGGGGUAACGGCCCACCAAGCCGAGAUCGGUACGGGCCGUGAGAGAGGGAGCCCGGAGAUGGACACUGACACACGGGUCCAGGCCCUACGGGGCGCAGCAGGCGCGAAACCUCCGCAAUGCGGGAAACCGCGACGGGGGGACCCCCAGUGCCGUGCCUCUGGCACGGCUUUUCCGGAGUGUAAAAAGCUCCGGGAAUAAGGGCUGGGCAAGGCCGGUGGCAGCCGCCGCGGUAAUACCGGCGGCCCGAGUGGUGGCCACUAUUAUUGGGCCUAAAGCGGCCGUAGCCGGGCCCGUAAGUCCCUGGCGAAAUCCCACGGCUCAACCGUGGGGCUCGCUGGGGAUACUGCGGGCCUUGGGACCGGGAGAGGCCGGGGGUACCCCCGGGGUAGGGGUGAAAUCCUAUAAUCCCGGGGGGACCGCCAGUGGCGAAGGCGCCCGGCUGGAACGGGUCCGACGGUGAGGGCCGAAGGCCAGGGGAGCGAACCGGAUUAGAUACCCGGGUAGUCCUGGCUGUAAAGGAUGCGGGCUAGGUGUCGGGCGAGCUUCGAGCUCGCCCGGUGCCGUAGGGAAGCCGUUAAGCCCGCCGCCUGGGGAGUACGGCCGCAAGGCUGAAACUUAAAGGAAUUGGCGGGGGAGCACUACAAGGGGUGGAGCGUGCGGUUUAAUUGGAUUCAACGCCGGGAACCUCACCGGGGGCGACGGCAGGAUGAAGGCCAGGCUGAAGGUCUUGCCGGACGCGCCGAGAGGAGGUGCAUGGCCGCCGUCAGCUCGUACCGUGAGGCGUCCACUUAAGUGUGGUAACGAGCGAGACCCGCGCCCCCAGUUGCCAGUCCCUCCCGCUCGGGAGGGAGGCACUCUGGGGGGACUGCCGGCGACUAAGCCGGAGGAAGGGGCGGGCGACGGUAGGUCAGUAUGCCCCGAAACCCCCGGGCUACACGCGCGCUACAAUGGGCGGGACAAUGGGUGCCGACCCCGAAAGGGGGAGGUAAUCCCCUAAACCCGCCCUCAGUUCGGAUCGCGGGCUGCAACUCGCCCGCGUGAAGCUGGAAUCCCUAGUAACGGCGCGUCAUCAUCGCGCGGCGAAUACGUCCCUGCUCCUUGCACACACCGCCCGUCACUCCACCCGAGCGGGGCCUAGGUGAGGCCCGAUCUCCUUCGGGAGGUCGGGUCGAGCCUAGGCUCCGUGAGGGGGGAG
RNAcentral lists this ribosomal RNA (1429 nucleotides) under Pyrococcus abyssi. RNAcentral's name for it is "bacterial SSU rRNA". It matches the Rfam family "Archaeal small subunit ribosomal RNA". The record is from RNAcentral. Lineage: Archaea; Methanobacteriati; Methanobacteriota; Thermococci; Thermococcales; Thermococcaceae.